UACAGAGGUCCCAAGCGUUGUUCGGAUUCACUGGGCGUAAAGGGUGCGCAGGUGGUUUGGCAAGUUUGACGUGAAAGCCCCGGGCUUAACCCGGGAAUGGCGUUGAAAACUGCUUGAACUGAAGGGUUGGAGGGGGGACUGGAAUUCUUGGUGUAGCAGUGAAAUGACGUAGAUAUCAAGAGGAACACCAGUGGCGAAGGCGAGUCCCUGGACAAUACCUGACACUGAGGCACGAAAGCCAAGGGAGCAAACAGGA
This 256-nucleotide ribosomal RNA is filed under the name uncultured bacterium. RNAcentral describes it as "partial 16S ribosomal RNA". It matches the Rfam family "Bacterial small subunit ribosomal RNA", at positions 524 to 777 of the family's 1533-position model. The record is from RNAcentral.